RNAcentral lists this ribosomal RNA (434 nucleotides) under uncultured bacterium. Its description in RNAcentral is "bacterial SSU rRNA". It matches the Rfam family "Bacterial small subunit ribosomal RNA", at positions 355 to 786 of the family's 1533-position model. The record is from RNAcentral.
UAGGGAAUAUUGCACAAUGGGCGGGAGCCUGAACCAGCCAAGCCGCGUGAGGGAAGAAGGCCCUAUGGGUCGUAAACCUCUUUUGUCAGGGAACAAAAGCGAGUAUGUAUACUAGUCUGAGUGUACCUGAAGAAAAAGCAUCGGCUAACUCCGUGCCAGCAGCCGCGGUAAUACGGAGGAUGCGAGCGUUAUCCGGAUUUAUUGGGUUUAAAGGGUGCGUAGGCGGCGAUGCAAGUCAGCGGUAAAAGCCCGGGGCUCAACCCCGGCGAGCCGUUGAAACUGCAGUGCUAGAGAAGGCGAGAGGUACGCGGAAUGCGCAGUGUAGCGGUGAAAUGCUUAGAUAUUGCGCAGAACUCCGAUUGCGAAGGCAGCGUACUGGCGCCUGACUGACGCUGAGGCACGAAAGCGUGGGGGAUCGAACAGGAUUAGAUACC